RNAcentral lists this ribosomal RNA (431 nucleotides) under uncultured bacterium. Its description in RNAcentral is "partial 16S ribosomal RNA". It matches the Rfam family "Bacterial small subunit ribosomal RNA", at positions 29 to 505 of the family's 1533-position model. The record is from RNAcentral.
AACGAACGCUGGCGGCAUGCCUAACACAUGCAAGUCGAACGAGACCUUCGGGUCUAGUGGCGCACGGGUGGGUAACGCGUGGGAACCUGCCCUUGGGUUCGGAAUAACUCCCCGAAAGGGGUGCUAAUACCGGAUAAUGUCUUCGGACCAAAGAGUUAUCGCCUUUGGAUGGGCCCGGGUUGGAUUAGCUAGUUGGUAGGGUAAAAGCCUACCAAGGCGACGAUCCAGAGGUGGUCUGAGAGGAUGACCAGCCACACUGGGACUGAGACAGGGCCCAGCCUCCUACAGGAGGCAGCAGUGGGGAAUAGUGGACGGUGGGCGGAAGCCUGAGCCAGCAGUGCGGCGUGAGUGAUGAAGGCCUGAGGGGUGUAAAGCUCUUUUACCCGGGAUGAUUGUGACAGUACCGGGAGAAUAAGCUCCCUCUCUCCCCG